This 584-nucleotide ribosomal RNA is filed under the name uncultured bacterium. RNAcentral's name for it is "partial 16S ribosomal RNA". It matches the Rfam family "Bacterial small subunit ribosomal RNA", at positions 355 to 1375 of the family's 1533-position model. The record is from RNAcentral.
UGGGGAAUUUUGGACAAUGGGCGAAAGCCUGAUCCAGCAAUGCCGCGUGUGUGAAGAAGGCCUUCGGGUUGUAAAGCACUUUUGUCCGGAAAGAAAUCCUUGGCUCUAAUACAGUCGGGGGAUGACGGUACCGGAAGAAUAAGCACCGGCUAACUACGUGCCAGCAGCCGCGGUAAUACGUAGGGUGCAAGCGUUAAUCGGAAUUACUGGGCGUAAAGCGUACGCAGGCGGUUUGCUAAGACCGAUGUGAAAUCCCCGGGCUCAACCUGGGAACUGCAUUGGUGACUGGCAGGCUAGAGUAUGGCAGAGGGGGGUAGAAUUCCACGUGUAGCAGUGAAAUGCGUAGAGAUGUGGAGGAAUACCGAUGGCGAAGGCAGCCCCCUGGGCCAAUACUGACGCUCAUGCACGAAAGCGUGGGGAGCAAACAGGAUUAGAUACCCUGGUAGUCCACGCCCUAAACGAUGUCAACUAGUUGUUGGGGAUUCAUUCCUUAGUAACGUAGCUAACGCGUGAAGUUGACCGCCUGGGGAGUACGGUCGCAAGAUUAAAACUCAAAUGAAUUGACGGGGUCAUAGCUGUUUCCU